RNAcentral lists this ribosomal RNA (440 nucleotides) under uncultured bacterium. RNAcentral's name for it is "partial 16S ribosomal RNA". It matches the Rfam family "Bacterial small subunit ribosomal RNA", at positions 338 to 795 of the family's 1533-position model. The record is from RNAcentral.
CCUACGGGAGGCAGCAGUGGGGGAUAUUGCACAAUGGGGGGAACCCUGAUGCAGCGACGCCGCGUGGGUGAAGAAGCGCCUCGGCGCGUAAAGCCCUGUCAGCAGGGAAGAAAAAGACGGUACCUGAAGGAGAAGCCCCGGCUAACUACGGGCCAGCAGCCGAGGUAAUACGUAGGGGGCAAGCGUUAUCCGGAUUUACUGGGGGUAAAGGGGUCGCAGACGGCGAUGCAAGCCAGUAGUGAAAGCCCGGGGCACAACCCCGGGACUGCUCUUGGAACUGAGUGGCUGGAGUGCAGGAGGGGCAGGCGGAAUUCCUGGUGUAGCGGUGAAAUGCGUAGAUAUCAGGAGGAACACCGGUGGCGAAGGCGGCCUGCUGGUCUGCAACUGACGUUGAGGCCCGAAAGCGUGGGGAGCAAACAGGAUUAGAUACCCUUGUAGUC